AACGCUAGCUACAGGCUUAACACAUGCAAGUCGAGGGGAAACGACAUCGAAAGCUUGCUUUUGAUGGGCGUCGACCGGCGCACGGGUGAGUAACGCGUAUCCAACCUGCCCACCACUUGGGGAUAACCUUGCGAAAGUAAGACUAAUACCCAAUGAUAUCUCUAGAAGACAUCUGAAAGAGAUUAAAGAUUUAUCGGUGAUGGAUGGGGAUGCGUCUGAUUAGCUUGUUGGCGGGGUAACGGCCCACCAAGGCGACGAUCAGUAGGGGUUCUGAGAGGAAGGUCCCCCACAUUGGAACUGAGACACGGUCCAAACUCCUACGGGAGGCAGCAGUGAGGAAUAUUGGUCAAUGGGCGAGAGCCUGAACCAGCCAAGUAGCGUGUAGGAUGACGGCCCUAUGGGUUGUAAACUGCUUUUAUAAGGGAAUAAAGUGAGUCUCGUGAGACUUUUUGCAUGUACCUUAUGAAUAAGGACCGGCUAAUUCCGUGCCAGCAGCCGCGGUAAUACGGAAGGUCCGGGCGUUAUCCGGAUUUAUUGGGUUUAAAGGGAGCGUAGGCCGGAGAUUAAGCGUGUUGUGAAAUGUAGACGCUCAACGUCUGCACUGCAGCGCGAACUGGUUUCCUUGAGUACGCACAAAGUGGGCGGAAUUCGUGGUGUAGCGGUGAAAUGCUUAGAUAUCACGAAGAACUCCGAUUG
This 696-nucleotide ribosomal RNA is filed under the name uncultured bacterium. RNAcentral describes it as "bacterial SSU rRNA". It matches the Rfam family "Bacterial small subunit ribosomal RNA", at positions 32 to 715 of the family's 1533-position model. The record is from RNAcentral.